RNAcentral lists this ribosomal RNA (464 nucleotides) under uncultured bacterium. Its description in RNAcentral is "partial 16S ribosomal RNA". It matches the Rfam family "Bacterial small subunit ribosomal RNA", at positions 29 to 507 of the family's 1533-position model. The record is from RNAcentral.
ACGAACGCUGGCGGCGUGCUUAACACAUGCAAGUCGAACGGAAAGGCCCCUUUGGGGGUACUCGAGUGGCGAACGGGUGAGUAACACGUGAGUAACCUGCCCUUGACUUCGGGAUAACUUCAGGAAACUGGGGCUAAUACCGGAUAGGAAUCCUUGCUGCAUGGUGGGGGUUGGAAAGCUUCGGCGGUUUUGGAUGGACUCGCGGCUUAUCAGCUUGUUGGUGGGGUAGUGGCUUACCAAGGCUUUGACGGGUAGCCGGCCUGAGAGGGCGACCGGCCACAGUGGGACUGAGAUACGGCCCAGACUCCUACGGGAGGCAGCAGGGGGGAAUAUUGCACAAGGGGCGGAAGCCUGAUGCAGCAACGCCGCGUGCGGGAGGACGGCCUUCGGGUUGUAAACCGCUUUCAGCAGGGGCGAAGCUUGUGGUGACGGUACCUGCAGAAGAAGCACCGGCUAACUACGUG